UGGGGAAUAUUGCACAAUGGGCGCAAGCCUGAUGCAGCAAUGCCGCGUGAGUGAAGACGGCCUUAGGGUUGUAAAACUCUUUCGCUAGGGAAGAUAAUGACGGUACCUAGUAAAGAAACCCCGGCUAACUCCGUGCCAGCAGCCGCGGUAAUACGGAGGGGGUUAGCGUUGUUCGGAAUUACUGGGCGUAAAGCGCACGUAGGCGGACCAGAAAGUUGGGGGUGAAAUCCCGGGGGCUCAACCCCGGAACUGCCUCCAAAACUAUUGGUCUAGAGUUCGAGAGAGGUGAGUGGAAUUCCGAGUGUAGAGGUGAAAUUCGUAGAUAUUUGGAGGAACACCAGUGGCGAAGGCGGCUCACUGGCUCGAUACUGACGCUGAGGUGCGAAAGUGUGGGGAGCAAACAGGAUUAGAUACCCUGGUAGUCCACACCGUAAACGAUGAAUGCCAGUCGUCGGGUAGCAUGCUAUUCGGUGACACACCUAACGGAUUAAGCAUUCCGCCUGGGGAGUACGGUCGC
This 517-nucleotide ribosomal RNA is filed under the name uncultured bacterium. RNAcentral's name for it is "bacterial SSU rRNA". It matches the Rfam family "Bacterial small subunit ribosomal RNA", at positions 355 to 889 of the family's 1533-position model. The record is from RNAcentral.